Molecule: non-coding RNA, 1678 nt
Organism: Microcebus murinus (gray mouse lemur)
Lineage: Eukaryota; Metazoa; Chordata; Mammalia; Primates; Cheirogaleidae
Source: RefSeq, a predicted model, not a curated record
GUGAAGAGGAGCCAUUAUGAGGAGAUGGAGCCAUGGUAAGGAAAAGGGAACUAUUGUGAAGAGAGGGAGCCAUGGUGAAGAGGCGACAUUGUGAGGAGAUGGAGCCAUUGUGAGAAGAGGGAGCCAUGGUGAGGAGAGAGAGCUAUUGCAAGGAGAGGGUGCCAUGGCGAGGAGAGGGAACUCUUGCAAGGAGAGAGACUCAUGGUGAAGAGUAGCCAUUAUGAGGAGAUGGAGCCAUGGUAAAAAGAGGGAACUAUUGUGAGGAGAGGGAGCCAUGGUGAAGAGGAGCCAUUGUGAGAAGAGGGAGCCAUGGUGAGGAGAGAGAGCUAUUGCAAGGAGAGGCAGCCAUGGUGAGGAGAGAGAGCUAUUGCAAGGAGAGGCAGCCAUGGUGAGGAGAGAGAGCUAUUGCAAGGAGAGGGAGCCAUGGUGAGAGACAGAGCUUAUGUGAGAAGAGGGAGUCAUGGUGAGGAGAGAGAGCUAUUGUAAGGAGAGGGAGCCAUGAUGAGAGACAGAGCUUACGUGAGAAGAGGCAGCCAUGGUGAGGAGAGAGAGCUAUUGUAAGGAGAGGGAGCCAUGGUGAGGAGAGGGAACUAUUGUGAGGAGGAGCCAUUGUGAGGAGGAGGAGGUGGGUCCCUCACAGAGGGGACAUCUGUUGUGAGGGCUGGGAUCCACUAAGGGUAGAACAGAGGGGCACUGCCACCUGAGCAUCAUAACAGGGAUCACUCUGCUCCUGGUUCAGAAAGAGUGUGGAGAGUUGAGGGAGGAGCAGGGACGCUGCUCGGAAGGCUGUCACGGAACAGAGACUGCCCGGUGUGGUCGCCGCUGUGGUGGUGUCAAUUCAACUGGAUUAAAGAACACCUAGAAAACAAGUAAAGCAUUAUUUUGGGGUGUGUCUGUAAGGAAGAUCCCACAGGAGACUGGCUUGUGAGUCACUGGACUAAGUGGGCCAGAGCUACCCUCAAUGUGGGGCACCAUCUAAUCAACUAGGGACCCAAAUAGAACAAGAAGGCAGAGGAAAGGCAAAAUUGCUCUGUCUCUCUCCUGGAGCUGUGACACCCUUCUUCUCUUGCACUUGGACAUCAGACUCUGGAUUCUACAGCCUUUGGACUCCAGGACUUGCAACAGUGGCCCCCUGGGUUCUCAGGCCUUUGAACUUGGACACUCAAGCUACCAGUAUACUGGUUCUCCAGCUUGCCAACAGCCUAUUGUGGGACUUCUCAGCCUCUCUAACAGAAUGGAGAAGGUUGGUGUCCCACAUCCUGAAUGAAGAAAUGGCAGCCCAAGAGCUUGAAUGACUGGCCAGGCUCUGAUGUCUACAUGGUAGAUAUGGGAUGGACCUAAUCACUCUGACUCCUGGCCCAGCAUUCUCCCCACACUCUAUGCUACAAGGAAAGCCCAGUGCAACGAUAGCAGGCCUUUUAUCAACUACAACUUAGACCCAAGGCUAGCAAUGGCACGAUCACCGAAAACCUCACAGAUGACGCCCAGUCAAACCACAGUCUGGGAACAGACCCCAGAAGUCCCCUUGCUGGCCCAAGCCUUCUCAAGUUCUUCAUCCCACAGAAGGAUUCUGUAAAAUCUAACCACAUUCAAUUCUUAAGAAACCAAGAUGAAAGAGUAUUUUCAUGCUAAAAGUUUAUUCUCACCGUGGGCAGAGAUGAAACCAUAUUUCUCUCUU